GUACACUCCUACGGGAGGCAGCAGUGGGGAAUUUUGGACAAUGGGCGAAAGCCUGAUCCAGCAAUGCCGCGUGUGUGAAGAAGGCCUUCGGGUUGUAAAGCACUUUUGUCCGGAAAGAAAUCCUUGGCUCUAAUACAGUCGGGGGAUGACGGUACCGGAAGAAUAAGCACCGGCUAACUACGUGCCAGCAGCCGCGGUAAUACGUAGGGUGCGAGCGUUAAUCGGAAUUACUGGGCGUAAAGCGUGCGCAGGCGGUUUGCUAAGACCGAUGUGAAAUCCCCGGGCUCAACCUGGGAACUGCAUUGGUGACUGGCAGGCUAGAGUAUGGCAGAGGGGGGUAGAAUUCCACGUGUAGCAGUGAAAUGCGUAGAGAUGUGGAGGAAUACCGAUGGCGAAGGCAGCCCCCUGGGCCAAUACUGACGCUCAUGCACGAAAGCGUGGGGAGCAAACAGGAUUAGAAACCCCGGUAGUCCCAU
This 476-nucleotide ribosomal RNA is filed under the name uncultured organism. Its description in RNAcentral is "partial 16S ribosomal RNA". It matches the Rfam family "Bacterial small subunit ribosomal RNA", at positions 331 to 798 of the family's 1533-position model. The record is from RNAcentral.